Non-coding RNA from Pelobates cultripes (western spadefoot toad), 6368 nucleotides. Lineage: Eukaryota; Metazoa; Chordata; Amphibia; Anura; Pelobatidae. The record is from the annotation of a GenBank genome assembly.
CUCACCCGGAAGUGCGGCAGAGGUACCGGGAACGCGGCGGUGAGGGUGACGAGCAGUUGCGGACCAGCGGGAGUGUUUGACUGGGUCGAGGAAGCGCUAGGAGCUUGGAAGGAAUCCUGGUAAACCCGAAGGAGGUAGACCAUGAGGGAGACUGUCCUCAGGAAACCAGAAGCGGAAGUGACCAGCCGAUGUCAGCCCAGUAUACAGGUAGGUUUGAGUACAUAUAGGCCAAAACUCCAGCUCCGCCUUCCCAUAUAUAUAAAUAUAUAUAUCUUUAUUUUUUUAAUGUUAAAAAUGCAUUUCUGAUUAUACCUUAUUUUUUACAUUUUGCAGCUUCCAAUGGGUUCAUUUUAUUUUCAAACAAUAAACAUUGUGGUUUAAUUAUCAAACUUGGGAAUUUAGUAGAAUUGUCAAGUAAAUUGCAAAUUUUAGGCUAAACUGGACAAAUUGUAAAAAAAUUAAACUCCCAGUUUUGUAAAUAGACCCAUUGUUUGAACUGAGAACUAUAAUUAUAUUGUAUGUAAUUAGAUUGCAUUUGUAUAUUCCUAUAAAUUUUAAUAUAUGUUGCCAAUGUAUCUUAAGAAUAAAAGCAAUAUACAUGUUCUAAAAUAAAUUUGCAUCUGAUUUGGAUUCUUCAUAUGAGGAGACUUGGUUUGGAACAGAUUCCCAGAAUAGUCCUAACAUACUGUAUGACUCAUGCAUUGGCUUACGGUUGAUUUGUGUGGGCGCAGUUUUCUACGCAGAGAUGCCUCUGUAAAUCAGCAAAUAGUAACCUAUAUGAGACAGCUGCCUUCCCCUCCUACCCACCCCUCUGCCACCAUGAAAAGGACAAGUUGGCAUUCUAUUACCACCUGCACUGCUAGAAGCUUUGGCACUGAGAUUGCACUUCACAAUUAACAUUUAUUCCCCAAGCUGUUUCGGUAAUUGUUACUUUUCAUUUAUUUAAAUGCAACAUUUAACUACAAUGCAAGAUUCUUUUUUUUAUUGUAGCAGCACGAAGUAUUUUAUUGACUAAGACUCCAGAUAUACAUCACACAGCAGCAUAUAAAGUGAUAUCUGAAUAGAAAACAAUGAAAAAAAAAAAUGAAAAAAAUAACUAAACCCAAAAGAAAAAAAAAAGAGCUAAACGAAAAAUGAUUGUGAAAUUAUAUAAUGCCAUCAUGUAAUUGUAUCCGCUAUAAACUAGAUUUGACGAUUUGCAAUCGUGCAAUUCUUUCAUUAUUGAUUCAGACAAAGUACCCAACAAAAGCACACAACGAAGACACCCUGUGAACAAAAUGUAUUUAGUUUACUAGCCAUGUGGUUAGCUAGUGUGAAAGUAGCUAGUUAUGGUUAGAUCUAAUGUUAAAGGAGCACUAUAGGAUUAGGAACACAAACAUGUAUUCCUGACCUUACAGCAAGGCCGGACUGGGAAUUAAAAGUAGCCCUGGAAAAAAAAUAUUUACCAGCCCCAUAAUGCGUCGCGCCAGCAUAGUGUGCAGAUACAGAGUUAGAAAAGAUAACUUAAAAUUAAAAAUUAUUACUCCAAUGUAAAAAGAGCACUCAUAGGCUUCAAAAUAAACAAAAGUGCAGAUUUAUUUUAAGCAGAUGUGCCUUUGCAUGUAAUCAAUGUUUCAAUCCAACUACCUUGACAUAUUAAGGAAAGCUUGGUAAUGGGACUGAAAUGGUGAAUGUAUGUAGGGCACAACGGUAAAAAAAAAUAUUUUGAAGUCCUGUGGGUGCGUUCUUCACUUUAAAUAUGUUAUUGUGCUGGAGUAUGCACCUAGCAACAAGACUGGGCCAAUAUCUGCUUAUUACAUAUGGUACAUAUUGAUGACAUUUCUCUGUGUAUUAUGCAUAUAUAAAUGUACAUUAAUAUGUGUAAGUAUAAUAGGCAUAAUUCUAAUGCUGGGAUAUGGGGCUGUAGUAGGGUAUAGGAGCAGUGGUGCAAUGUGUGAGGGGUGCAGUGUGUGUGAAAGGUUCAGUGUGUGUGUGGGGGGGGUGUAGUGUGUGAAUGUGUAGCGUGUGGGGCAAUGUGUGUAUGGUGGGGCAGUGUGUGAAUGUGUAUGGUGUGUGUGUGGGGGCAGUGUGUGAAUGUGUAUGGUGUGUGUUUGUGGGGGCAGUGUGUGUAUGGGGCUAGAGUUCACUCUCACUACUGUGACCACCAGGAAUCCCUGGUGGUCGCAGUGAUGAGAGUGAACUCUAGCCCGUAGCUCCAGGGCUAGAGUUCACCCUCGUGAGAGCUGGAGUGAUGCCAUGGUAACCGUGGCAACACUCUGUGCUCGCAUGAGAAGGACCCAGAGGAGCUCCAUGCUGAGCUCCUGGGUCCUCUCUUCCUCCCUCCCCUGCCGGCUGCUGGGGAGGAAGGGGACAUCGACUGGCAGGGGAGAGCCUCGUGGGGGAAUUGCCUCGUUGCUCCCCCAUCCACCAGUGAUAUAUACAGCCCCUAUGUGUGUCUCUUUUUAUCUCCAGCCCCUCUGUGUGUCUUUUUGUCUCCCCCUGUCCCUCUGUAUGUUUCUUUCUCCCCCUCACUGCUUCUCUGUGUCAAUGUCUCCCCUCUCCUUCCCAGUCUCUCUCUUCCUCCUCUGCCUCUUUCUCCCCCUCCCCUUGUAUGUCUCUCUCCUUUCUCCCUUUUUGUCUCUCUCUUCCCCUCUGUCUUUGUCCCCCCUUUUCCUGUGUCUCUUCCUCCUCCAUAUCUCUUUUCCUCCCCCCUUUCCCUGUGUCUUUCCCUCCUCCACAUCUCUCUUCCCCUGUCUCUUUCUCCUCCCUUACCCUGUCUCUCUUCCCCUCUGUCUCUUUCUCCUCCCUCCACCAUCUCUCUAUUCACCCUCUUUCUCCCCCUGUGUCUCACUCUUCCCCCUCUGUCUCUUUCUCCCUCUUUUCCUGUGUCACUCUCUCUCCCCCUGUCUCUUUCUCCCUCUUUUCCCUGUCUCUUUCUUCCUCUUUUCCCUGUGUCACUCUCUCUCCCCCUCUGUCUCUUUCUCCCUUUUUUCCCUGUGUCACUCUCUCUCCCCGUCUCUGUCUUCCUCUUUUCCCUGUAUCACUCUCUCUCUCCAUCUUUCUCCCUCUUUUCCCUGUGUCACUCUCCCUGUCUCUUUCUCUUUCCCUAUGUCUAUAUAUCCUCCAUUUACUGAGAGAAGUCAGGGGGCCGGCUGCAUUCCAGGCUGGAGCCGCCGGGCCGGGUGGCAGCCUCGCCGGUCUGGCGGCACUCCUGUCACUGAUGCUGAGGACGGAAGGAGGGAGGGAGCAUGUCUAUCUACCAUGGUCCCUCGCGGUUCCCACAAUUUCCAGCACAGCAUACUGAUACAGCUUACUGUGCUGGGAAUUGUGGGAACCGCAAGGGAGCAUGGUAGAUGGACAUGCUCCCUCCUCCUUCAGCCCUCAGCAUCAGUGACAGGAGAUCCACCGGACCGGCGAGGCUGCCAUGCGGCCUGGUGACUCCUGCCUGGAACGCGGCCGGCCCCCUCUGAGUGUGCCACUGGUGGCACCUAUAUGCGCAGCCCCUAGAUGUCACAGCCCACCGGUAAAUUUCCUGGUAUCCCGGUGGGCCAGUCCAGCCCUGCCCUACAGUGUUAAAACCACCAUCUUGCCCCCCUGGUACCUCCUUGCCUCCCUACAUAUAGUAAAAUCUUACUUGUGUUCAACUCUGCAGCUGCUAACUCUGCCCCUAAUCUGCCUGCAUGCCUGACAUCAUCAGAAGUGAUUCUCUGAGGAAGCACCUCUAGCAGCCAUCUGAGGAGUGGCCAGUGGAGUUAUCCCUAGGUUGUAAUGUAAACACUGCAUUUUCUCUGAAAAGACAGUGUUUACUGCAAAAAGCCUGAAGAGUAUGAUUAUACUCACCAGAACAAAUACAAUAAGCUGUUGUUGUUCUGGUGACUAUAGUGUCCCUUUAACUAACCAUUAAAACAGUAAAAGUUAAAGCAUAACAUAAUGCACUUGGGAAGCCAUUUAUAGAAGAAGAUAUAGACCUAUUCCAAUCACCGCCAUAAGAUAUACUUAUUUAUUUUACUAGUACAGUUAAUUUGAACAGUACAUAAAACCAGUCUCAAAAAGUCUCAAAAUAAAAAAUAAAAUUGUUAGUGCCACUCUAUAUAUACACUGGCCUAUUUCUGUAACCUUCGAAUACUGUCAUAAUUAUAGAAGAUCUUCGGGCAAUUAUCCCAUAUCACAAAGAAUAAAACACGGUAAGUUAUAUCAGGUACAUGAGUGCUACCCACCACUGCAAUGUCAACAACCACAUCUGCAUCUUCCACUAUACCACGGCCACUAACAGGUAUACAAACAAUGGAUGGAUUAGCGCUUAGUGGCCACCUAGAAUAUAUAUUCAAGUAUAAGGGUCCCUCAAAAACCAUCAAAGAAAAGAAUUGUAUACAAUCGUAUAGUUAUUAGGCAAGGGAGAAAGAUAAGGCAGAAAUAGUGCUCUCUGUAUAUAUAUAUAUAUGUAUAUAUAUAUUUUAAAUAUAUUAUUAAAGGUCUUAUACUCACAUUUAAGUGAGCAUGAAAUACUGAUCACUUCUAUGGGCGUAGGUGGUAUAAUCCCCACCUGGGAUUCUCUAGCGAGUAGAUCUUCGAGAAUUCUUAGUUAUACCACCUACGCCUAUAGAAAUGAGCAGUAUUUCUUGCUCACUUAAAUGUGAGUACAAGACCUUUAAUUAUAUAUAUAUAUUUAAAUUUUUUUAAUUAUACAGAGAGCACUAUUUCUGCCUUAUGUUUCUCCCUUGCCGGUACAUCUCUACCCUGAGGAACCUCCCAAAAUAUACCAUCACCUAUAUCCUACCAGUGGGGGAUCAACGCCACUGAAUGCAAGUCAUACUUGAGUAUGUACUAGCUCUAUAAUAGGUGAUAGACAUGUGCAAUUCGUUUCGGUCCGAAUGUGGAUUCGGACGAAUUUCGGGCAAUUUGGACCUUUCGAGUACUUCCGAAUGUCCGAAUAGAUGAAUUGCCGAAUUGUUGAAGUCCCGAAGUUCCAAAAUCACCGAAUUUCUGAAGUGUCGAAGUGCCGAAGUUCCGAAGCACAGUAUUGCCUAAGAACUAAUAUACUUACCCAGUGGAAGAAUGAAGAAUGUUACACUGUAUACAAUUCUAAAUAAAAAGUAUACAAACAUAGCCAGGAUUCAGCUGUAAGCAUUUGCAACAUUUACAACAAUCAAGUAAUAUACAUUCAUAUAAAAUGUAAGUUACUUAGCCAGUCAAUGUAAUGACAGGAAUGAAUAAGUAGAUAACUCCCUAAUUCCCACGGUAUUAGGGAGCUAUCUACUAAAAGGCUGAAAGACCUAAAUUGAUCUUUCAGUCAAAUUUACUAAUACUAAGUAAAGAUUGUAAAAUGUAGCUCCAAUACAUACUCUUUCAGGAUUACCUUUUUAAUUAUUUUAAUAUAUAUAUAUAUAUAUAUAUAUAUAUAUAUAUAUAUAUAUAUAUAUCUAAUAUAUACCUGUAUGUAUUUUUGUGACAAUUCAUUUACAUAUUUUUUUAUAUUUUAUAUAGUUUUUAUAUACUCUUAAUAUAUAUGUUCUUUAUAUAUAUAUAUAUAUAUAUAUAUAUAUAUAUAUAUAUAUAUAUAUCUUUUUUUUAUAUAUAUAUAUAUAUAUAUAUAUAUAUAUAUAUAUAUAUAUAUAUAUAUAUAUAUAUAUAUAUAUAUAUUCUGGCUAGAUGAUGUGAUCUCUAGGUAUUACAUCAUAUUUAAUUGUAUUCCAAUUAAUCCUGUUUUUUUUCUUGUCCCUCUUCUCUUUUACCAGUAUUUUGUUUAUUAUUAUUUUUAAUAGAAUUGUGCAUCUUCAAAAGGCAUCCUAUAUUUCCAUAUCCUGUUUAUAUGAAAGCUCUUAUGAAUUCUCUGAUCCCACUUUAUAUUUAAAUACAACUUUUUGUAAUAAUUGACACCAUCACUAACUGAUAAUAUAUCUUUUAAUAUAUAUGUGUUUUAAUAUAUAUGUGUUUUAUUGUACAAUUAUACUCUGUAUACACAACUUGUUUUGUAUAUAUAUCCUUUUUUAAUACAUAUAUCUCUAUUGCUUUACCGUUUGCACAUUAUGCUGUUUAAUUAUCUGCAUUAUGCUAAAUCUGUAUUCAGAUAGUUAAGUAAUUAUAUUGACUAUUUAGCGGAAUAUGUAUAUGAAGCACCACUACAGCAUUGAAUCUCUAUCCGUCUCUGAAGAAGUAGGGGCACACCUACGAAACGCGUAAGACUGUAAGGACACACAUCAGGACUCAGUUCUACCAGACAUACGUCACCCACAGUCAGCAUCCUUUCAGGACCUAUUGGUUUGUGUAUCGCUACGAAGCUGCUCACAGCACACGUCCCUCCAGAGUGAGGCUCCCGCAGGGACGCUUGGUGAAUUCACACGCUGUCCUCUCCAGCGGAAAUACCAUAAACGGCUAAGAUUUCAAUCCAU